RNAcentral lists this ribosomal RNA (420 nucleotides) under Gammarus nipponensis. RNAcentral's name for it is "partial 16S rRNA". It matches the Rfam family "Bacterial large subunit ribosomal RNA", at positions 1947 to 2620 of the family's 2925-position model. Lineage: Eukaryota; Metazoa; Arthropoda; Malacostraca; Amphipoda; Gammaridae. The record is from RNAcentral.
CGUGCUAAGGUAGCAUAAUCAUUUGUUUUUUAAUUGAAAACUGGAAUGAAUGGUAAAACUAGUAUAUUUAGUCUGUUUGUCUAAAAAGAAAGUUAAGUAAAAGUAAGAAUUCUUUUUUAUUACUAGGGGACGAUAAGACCCUAAAAGCUUAAUGAAUAGGUUGUUAGUGGUGGUAUAAAGAAGUUUGUUUUACUGGGGCGGUAGGUAUAUUUAAACUAUAACGUUUAUUGAAUGAUCCUGCGUAUGUGGAUAAAAUGGAGAAGUUACUUUAGGGAUAACAGUACAAUUAUUUUGGAGAGAUCUUAUCGAUAAAGAAGCUUGUAACCUCGAUGUUGAAUUAGUAAGUCUACGUGGAGCAGUAAAUACGUAAGAAGGUUUGUUCAACCUUUAAAUUAUUACAUGAUCUGAGUUCAAACCGGA